AUGAUCGAUACGAUGUUGCAGCCGGGCGAAAGUGUUACCGAAGACACGACUCUGGACGACGACGUGGUGACAGAGAUCCUGCUGAGGCUGCCGUCCGCCUCCGUGCUCCGUUCCCGAGUCGUGUGCAAGGCGUGGCACCGCAUCACAACGGACCCCUCGUUCCUCGCCGCCCACGCCGACCGGCGGCCUGCCGAGCUGCUCGUCGGAUCAAGAGGAGAACCAUGUUUUCUAGACACCAUCCCGCUCUCUCUGCAACUCGACGAUUUGACGAGGCGCCGGAGCCAACUCCACUGCCCCAAGCACUGUGAGAUUGGCGCCCUGCUGGGUUGCUGCGACGGGCUCCUAUUGUUCCAGAAAUCCCGUGAAAGUUUGUUCAGGUCCGAUUUCUUCGUGUGCAACCCGGUGACCAAGCAGGGGGCUAGGUUGGACUUGAAGCCACCUUCUUGCCCCGACGUGGCCAGGCUGUGCGGAUUCUACCGCCACGGCCCGUCCGGCGAGCACCGGCUUCUUGUUCUCGCCAAUGAACUAAAACCUGGCUUGCCGGCACACUAUGUUUACUCUCUCGCCGCCGCCGUCACCGCCAGCUCACAACUUCCUCGCCGUCUCGGACCAGUGGCCGACGGUGUAGUCGUAGACGAGGUCGCCUAUUUCAUCAACCACUACGCCCACCACAGGGGCAAAAUUCACUGGACGAUCCAUCCUCUGGCCAGAAGCGCCGAGAAGAUCCUGGCGUUCGACACGGUGUCCGAGGAUUUCCGGCUGAUAUCGUGCCCGCCGUGGCCGAGGGAUCACUACCGCAACGAAGAUCUCUGCCUCUUGGAGUUGGACGGUACGUUAGCCGUGACGGCCCCUGAAUUCGAUGGAGAUACCACGGAGCUAUGGGUGCUCGAGGACUACGACGACGACCAGAGCUGGUUACACCGCUUCCGGAUCGUCCUGCCGCCGCGGUUCUCUCCACAUUGGUGGACGGGCACCGGCGCCCCCAACGUCGUCUUCGUGGGAAGCUACCUAAAUAAUUUCAAGGCGCUGUACAAUCUUACCGAGAAGAGGAUCAUAAAGCAGAUAGAAUUUGUCAAUGGCACACCGGUUUACUGCUACCUCUUCAAGGAUAGCCUUGUGCCGCACGCCUUCUUGAAUCCGUAUUAA
Molecule: ribosomal RNA, 1146 nt
Filed under: Triticum aestivum (bread wheat)
Lineage: Eukaryota; Viridiplantae; Streptophyta; Magnoliopsida; Poales; Poaceae
Description: partial small subunit ribosomal RNA
Source: RNAcentral